UUCCGGUUGAUCCCGCCGGAGAUCACUGCUAUUGGAAUUCGGCUAAGGCAUGCGAGUCGAGAGGGUUCGGCCCUCGGCAGACGGCUCAGUAACACGUGGACAAUCUGCCCUUAGGUGGGGGAUAAUCUCGAGAAAUUGAGCAUAAUACCCCAUAGUUCUAGAUUGCUGGAAUGCUUCUAGAAUCAAAGCCCCGGCGCCUAAGGAUGAGUCUGCGGCCUAUCAGGUUGUAGUGAGUGUAACGGACUCACUAGCCGACGACGGGUACGGGUCCUGGAAGGGAGUGCCCGGAGAUGGACUCUGAGACACGAGUCCAGGCCCUACGGGGCGCAGCAGCUACGAAAACUUCACAAUGCGGGAAACCGCGAUGAGGGAAUUCCAAGUGCUAAUACUUUGUAUUAGCUGUUUACUUGCCUAAAAAGCAGGUAGAGUAAGGGCUGGAUAAGACUGGUGCCAGCCGCCGCGGUAAUACCAGCAGCUCAAGUGGUGAUCGUUAUUAUUGGGCCUAAAGCGUCCGUAGCCGGUUUGGUAAACCCUUGGGUAAAUCGAGCAGCUUAACUGUUCGACUUCUGAGGAGACUGCCAGACUUGGGACCGGGAGAGGUCAGAGGUACUCUUGGGGUAGGGGUGAAAUCCUGUAAUCCUAAGAGGACCACCAGUGGCGAAGGCGUCUGACUAGAACGGGUCCGACGGUAAGGGACGAAGCCCUGGGUCACGAACCGGAUUAGAUACCCGGGUAGUCCAGGGUGUAAACGCUGCGGGCUUGGUGUUGGGGGUCCUACGAGGGCGUCCAGUGCCGGAGAGAAGUUGUUAAGCCCGCCGCCUGGGGAGUACGAUCGCAAGAUUGAAACUUAAAGGAAUUGGCGGGGGAGCACAGCAACGGGUGGAGCGUGCGGUUUAAUUGGAUUCAACGCCGGG
Molecule: ribosomal RNA, 914 nt
Filed under: uncultured archaeon
Lineage: Archaea
Description: bacterial SSU rRNA
Rfam family: Archaeal small subunit ribosomal RNA
Source: RNAcentral